CUUUAUGGAGUCUUUCCUGUGAACCUAGAUCUUUGGAUACAGUGACUUUCUUCUGUGACAAAAGCCUUCAUCUGCAGAAGAUGCCACUUGAUUUUGUUGGCUGUGCUUGCAAUCUAGGCAUCUGGACCACCGUUGAUUUCACUGGUAGAGAUCAAGGGGCAAAAAAGAUAUCUUUGCAUUAGCUGUCCUAGCAGUGCAACUAACUUUGCAGCAAAGAUGGAAAAAAGCCACUUCCAGUGAAUGCGACUACUGCUUUUUGUUUGCUUCAUUUCUGUGUUAUAAACAAAGACUGAACAAAUGCUGGAGUUUUUAAACUGUAUUUUAGCCAGUGCAGCAAGACUGUGACAUCAUUUUGCUUCACACAUUUUCCUGAGGGGAUGUUGACUAGGCUGGCAGCCCAUGCUGAGGUUAUGUUCUCCUUAAGCUUGUUCACCUUCACAGUAUCAGUAAAAGAAAUCCUGAGGAGUGUGACAGUGUGGACACCAUCAUGCUUUCGUCAUAUCUGAACUGUCCUUACUCUGAAUUCUUUUCAAGAAUUAAAUGUCUUCUCCUACAUAGUCUCAAGGCAAAGCUACACUGUAAAGCUGAGCCAGGACAUGCACUCCUUUCUGAUGUGCUGUAGAAAUACUGUGCUGACUUAAUAAUGGUAUUUGCAUCUUUGACUCCAGAACCUCUGAAACCACUUUGUUAUCAACCCAGAAGUACAAUCCUUAGAGAUCAACAGAGUUCUCUAUCUGUGAGGGCAGCGUAAGAGAGCUGCUAAUACAAACACAAAUUAGUCCUUGCAAAUUAAUACAAAAGUUGGCGUGAAGAUUCAGAAUUUUAUCUUUACUACUAUGUUUUCAGAGCUACUUCUAAAUAGUAUAUGGCUUAUACUAUAAUCACAAACUGCUAUGUGUUAAGAUCUGCAAAAUGUUAUGGCUUCAGCAAAGCCAAGCUCCAGCAGAGGCUGAGCCACGUACAUCGUUUCCAUGAACUCUCUUAAGCAUCCAUUUGGGAGCCAGAGAUCACUGGAACCCAGCCAAGGAGCCAUGCAGCCACUUCUUGACAACACCUCCUGGUAGGAAGGGUUGAGUAAAGUGACUAUAAAAGGAAGGAAAGUAUCUGAUGGAAAGUAUUAGUCCUAUUCUGCAAGGUCAGGUGAGACAUCAAGAAGAUAGCAUCUGCUGUCAGCCACAUUCCAGGAUGGGUGAAAUCAGCCCAGGACAAGGCUCACAGAAGGGCUGAUGCGCAGCAGUGAGCAGAGGAACAGAAUGCUCGUCAUCCAAGGGGCACCUAAGAGAGGCUGGCUCAGAGAGGACACCAGGGAAUGAACAUAGUUCUCAAGGUGGCACAGCCUCAAUUUACCAAUAAGACAUUUUUGGGACCUGUGGGAAGGGGAGCUUGGUACUGCAGUCCUGCGUUUGUGUGGAAGCCCAGGCCAAAUAGUAAGUCAGAAGAGUCAAACAGCUGGAUUCACUUAGGCUGGUUUUUAGAUGCCAGUGGUGGUUGUCUGAAGCAAAUUCUCAAACUCCAGUCCCUGUCAGUUCUUUGCAAGAUGAGCAAGGGAGACCCGAAGACCAGAUGGAGCUGGGGGAGAGAUGUCACAGUGUUAUCUCCACAGAAGGAACAGCAGAAGACAGGGUGAUCACAAACACAUGGUGUUUCCCUGGCUGAGCACAGAAACCCAUCCUCUUCAGAAACUUCACAUUUAGUGCCUUAGGGAGUUUUCAAUGCCACAUUUCUGCACAACUGCCCCUCUUCAGUGUAUGUGAAUUGAAUCUGUCUGCUGACACUGACACCUGGAUAUCAGUUCAACAAGCAGAAGAAAUCCUACCUUCCUUGUAAAGGAGGUAUUCUGGGAUGCAAUACAUGUGGGACUCGCACUUAGUUUGGUUCGUCAGGGCAUUUUGUUCAUACAGCCUUUUCUAAGAUUGAUUAAGCAACGGUAUUACUGAUUAAGAUCUCUAUUCUGUCACAGGAUUAUUGGACUGAUUUUUGCUCUGUGCACUCAGGCAGUGUUUAAUGUCUACCUAUUAUGCUAUUUCUACUGUCACAUAAAGUGAGUGAACUGGGAUUGGUACAACUUGAGUAAUUGCUGGAACCAGGAACUACUUCCACUCAAAAUAAUCUGUUUGGCUAUUAGGGUAUCACGUGGUUAAAAACACCAAGAGCUCUUUUGUUUUCACAUUUUCCACCUCGUUAUUCAUUUUUGCCACUGAAAAGAUACGACAGCAGACAGGAGCUGUACUGAAUGAUUACAGGGUCCAGAAUUGUAUCACUUUUUGGAAAGUGAGUCUAAUGGGUAACUUGUGCUUUAAGUGUGUCACGCGUCAGGACUGGGGAAUGCUAAUGCAAUGUAUUCCAGUAGUUUCGGGUGCUGUCUUUCUCUAGUUUAAAAAGCAGAAACAAAUCUCUGUGCUGGAAGGAGGUGACAGUGUUUAUCUUAUAGCAUGUAUUUUUAAAUAAAGCAAGGCAGAAUAUU
This is a long non-coding RNA of Lagopus leucura (white-tailed ptarmigan), 2464 nucleotides long. RefSeq lists it as uncharacterized. The transcript is spliced from 2 exons. Lineage: Eukaryota; Metazoa; Chordata; Aves; Galliformes; Phasianidae. The record is from RefSeq and is a predicted model, not a curated record.